AUGCUUACUUUGGCAGCACAUACACUAAAAUUGGAAUGAUACAGAGAAGAUUAGUAUGGCCCCUCAGCAAGAAUGACAUGCAAAUUUGGGAAGCAUUCCAGUAAAAA
Molecule: small nuclear RNA, 107 nt
Organism: Vombatus ursinus (common wombat)
Lineage: Eukaryota; Metazoa; Chordata; Mammalia; Diprotodontia; Vombatidae
Source: Ensembl